CAGUAGCCGCGGUAAUACGAAGGGUGCAAGCGUUACUCGGAAUUACUGGGCGUAAAGCGUGCGUAGGUGGUGGUUUAAGUCUGUUGUGAAAGCCCUGGGCUCAACCUGGGAAUUGCAGUGGAUACUGGGUCACUAGAGUGUGGUAGAGGAUAGUGGAAUUUCCGGUGUAGCAGUGAAAUGCGUAGAGAUCGGAAGGAACAUCUGUGGCGAAGGCGACUAUCUGGGCCAACACUGACACUGAGGCACGAAAGCGUGGGGAGCAAACAGGAUUAGAUACCCGCGUAGUCCCUGUCUCUUAUAC
This 301-nucleotide ribosomal RNA is filed under the name uncultured bacterium. RNAcentral's name for it is "partial 16S ribosomal RNA". It matches the Rfam family "Bacterial small subunit ribosomal RNA", at positions 509 to 807 of the family's 1533-position model. The record is from RNAcentral.